Long non-coding RNA from Polypterus senegalus (gray bichir), 2920 nucleotides. RefSeq lists it as uncharacterized. The transcript is spliced from 5 exons. The record is from RefSeq and is a predicted model, not a curated record. NCBI's taxonomy places the organism in Eukaryota, Metazoa, Chordata, Cladistia, Polypteriformes, Polypteridae.
AUUCAUAAAAAUCUCGGUCGAAUUUUUGGACAAUUACAAUACUUUCCCUAUACUUUGUAUACGAGAAAGUAAAAUCUAUGGACAUUUGAAAAAGGCCCAUUGACCAAAGCUGUAAGUGCAUCUACAGCAUGAAAUAGACAUCGCGAUUGUCAUACGUAUUCAUACAUUACUUCUAAGAACAUUACCUUAGUUUUGUGGGUAUGACAUUGUCUCCAGUUCUGACAGCUCAUCGGGACAGCUUAGCUACUAGCUAAACAAACCAGCCCGAUGGAGUGAAUGGUCCACUCUCAUUUAAUGUGUUUCAGUCUUUGCUUCUCCAGAUGCUCCCGCGUUGUCCGCGCUGUAUAUUUCAGGUCAUUUCUCUUACUUUAAGGUAAACCAUCGCUCCACUGUAAAGGGGUUAUGCACUCUAGAGGUUUUUCUCCAAGGACCUCUUGGCAGUUGGCCUCAUUCAUCUUUCCCUCAAUUCUGUUGAAUGUCCCUGUCCCAACACCCUCAUAGCUUGAUACUUUCACCUUAGGUAUUUGGUAGAUAGUGAGUGGUGCCUGCUCCUCUCCGGACGCAGUGCUUUCAGUUAAGAUCUUUGCCAUUUUUGUCUCGUCAGACUAGAGAAUCUUUUUCCUCCUGCUCUCGGAGUCCUUUAAAGUGUCAUUAAAGCCUUUUCCUCAAGAGUGGCAUCCAUCCAGCCACUGUGCCGUAAAUACCUGCUUGAUGGAGCGUUGUUAAGGUGCACAUCCUUCCAACAGAUACUUGCAUAUCAGCAGAGGACUUCUGAAGCUCGGUUAGAGUGAACAUUGGGUUCUCUGUCACUUCCCCUACCAAGACUCUUCUUGCUUGGUUACUCAGUGUGGCCUGAUAGCCAACUCUUAGAAGAGUUCUUGUGGUUCCUGCCUUCUUCCAUUUCACAAUUCUUUGACGGUAUUGUGCUCUUGGGAACAUACAAAUGGUUGUACCCCCUUGCCCUGAUCUGUACCUCGCCACAGUUUGUUUUGUGGAGGUCUAAAGAGACGUCCUUGAGCUUCAUGGCUUGGUUUUUAUCCUAACAUACCAUGUGAGUUGUGGAGCCUUCUGCACACAGGUACACAUGUGCCUUUCUAAACAAUGAUCAUUCACUUGAAUUUGCCGCAGGUGGACUCCAGUCCAGUUCUAGCUGCAUCUCAAGGAGAAGUAAAGCAGACAGGAUGCCCUUAAGCACAAUUUGUAGUGCCACAGCAAAGGUAUGAAGACGAAAGGAGAGAGUUCAGAUUUUGCACACCUUUCUGAUAACGUGGUUUAUCUUUGUCAUCAUGGGUCACGGGGUGUAGCUUGACGGGCCCAUCAAAUAUCCAUUUAAAAUGAAACCUAAAACAAAGUGAAGGAGGUCUCGAUAUUUUAUGAAUCCACUGUAGACCUGCUUCACAGGCAACAUUUGCAUUGAGCUCAAUAGUACCCUCUACUGUAGAGACCAAACAUGACGUAUCUGGCGUCAGACAUACUUACUUACUUUACUUACCCAGUAAAGAGUGUCAUGUAAAGGAGUAGAUAAUGUUGCUGUGAUACAAUAAACCAAUCUGUGUCUAAUGAGGAGUUUUGUCCCUUUUGCUAGACAAUCCUGGAAACAAACGAACUUUCUAAGCAUUUCUCAUGGCAGAGCUUGGAGAGUGAGACAGUGUAACAGUGAGGAAAAAAAAAAAAUAAGAAUAUACAACUAUGAGGAAAAACAACCAGCAGGACACAAUUUGAGUGUUGAUUGGAGAAAUUGGCAGUUAAAGACAUGGGUGGAUGUCUCUGCCUGAAGAAUUUUUAUCGACUUCUUGAAUUUUGAAGAAGACAAGUGUACAGUUCCCUAGGAAUUGUGUGUCAAGCCAGAAGCCUCCAAGACAAACACGUCUAAAUAUACUUUCCUGAGAAUGAAGAUGGUCUUUAAAAUGGUGAUUUUAAAGACGUCUUAACAAUAAAACGAGAAAGGAAACCAGCUUUUGUUUGCUACGAUGAAUGCCUGAUGGCUUAAAUAUAAAACAAGAGCACAUCAGUGAUUGCAAGAUCAAGAGUGAGACAGAACGGGAUCAGGAGCAAAGCGAUACUUUUAGGCUGGUGGAGGACUGUUCAGAGUCCACUGUUAGUACACCUGUUAACCAGAAAUCUGACUGGGAUAAAAACGAACUAUUCAAAAUUCUAAGAACGCUGAUUGUGGAAGUGAUAUGGAAAAUAGAAGUAUGACAGCAUGGUGUGUCUGGAGUAGUACAAUGCCAAAAUUAAUAAUUAUAAUAAUAAUUCUUUACAUUUACUGUAUAUAGUGCUUUUCUCACUACUCGGAGCGCUUUAGUGACUGUGCAGCCACCACUAAUGCGAAGCAUCCACCUGGAUGAUGCGACGGCAGCCAUUUUUGUGCCAGUUCGCUCAACUUACAUUAGCUGUUAGGUGGUGAAGCGGUGAGAGAGAUAACCAAUUAGAGACCGGGAAUGAUUAAGGUUGCAGAAUGACUAGGCCAGGACAUCGGGAUACACUCUGCUCUUUACGAAGGAUGCCCGGGGAUCUUUCAUGACCACAGAGAGUGUCAGGACCUCGGUUUUAUGUCUCAGCUGAAGGACGUCACCAUUUGUACAUCACAGUGUCCCCAUCACUGUACUGGGGCAUUGGAAUCCACAUUCAGACCACAGGGUAAGCGCCCCCUGCUGGCCUCACCAACACCUCUUCCAGCAGCAACCCAAGCUUUUCCUAGAUGGUCUUCCAUCCAAGCAUUGGCCAGGCCUGAAAACGCUUCGCUUCAGAUUUGAAAACACAAUGGGAGGUCUGGAACUUGGUAGUAAACCUUAUAAGAAGGACCAGCGGCUCAUAGCAGACUCAUUACUAUCUUCAUCAGGGAUCUCAAACUCCAGUCCUGGAGGGCUGCAGUGGCUGCAGAACUGAAACAUGAAGUGAGUGAGCCAACAGGAGACCA